RNAcentral lists this small nuclear RNA (107 nucleotides) under Procavia capensis (Cape rock hyrax). Lineage: Eukaryota; Metazoa; Chordata; Mammalia; Hyracoidea; Procaviidae. The record is from RNAcentral.
GUGCUCUAUUUGGCAGCAUGUAUGCUAAAUUUGGAAUGAUACAGAGAAGACUAGCAUGGUCCCUGCACAAGGAUGGCAUGAAAAUUCAUGAAGCAUUCCAUAAAAAA